RNAcentral lists this transfer RNA (56 nucleotides) under Stomatella planulata. RNAcentral describes it as "tRNA-Lys". Lineage: Eukaryota; Metazoa; Mollusca; Gastropoda; Trochida; Trochidae. The record is from RNAcentral.
AGGUGGCCGAGUAGCAGGCAUUAGGCUUUUAAUCUAACGACGAUAUUAUUAUCCCU